ACGGAAGGCAGCAGUGGGGAAUAUUGCACAAUGGGGGAAACCCUGAUGCAGCGACGCCGCGUGAGUGAAGAAGUUAUUCGUAAUGUAAAGCUCUAUCAGCAGGGAAGAAAAUGACGGUACCUGACUAAGAAGCCCCGGCUAACUACGUGCCAGCAGCCGCGGUAAUACGUAGGGGGCAAGCGUUAUCCGGAUUUACUGGGUGUAAAGGGAGCGUAGGCGGUGAUGCAAGUCAGAAGUGAAAACCCGGGGCUCAACCCCGUGGAUUGCUUUUGAGACUGUGUUGCUGGAGUACAGGAGGGGCAGGCGGAAUUCCUGGUGUAGCGGUGAAAUGCGUAGAUAUCAGGAGGAACACCGGUGGCGAAGGCGGCCUGCUGGACUGUAACUGACGCUGAGGCUCGAAGGCGUGGGGAGCAAACAGGAUUAGAUACCCUGGUA
This 435-nucleotide ribosomal RNA is filed under the name uncultured Lachnospiraceae bacterium. RNAcentral's name for it is "bacterial SSU rRNA". It matches the Rfam family "Bacterial small subunit ribosomal RNA", at positions 341 to 792 of the family's 1533-position model. Lineage: Bacteria; Bacillati; Bacillota; Clostridia; Lachnospirales; Lachnospiraceae. The record is from RNAcentral.